UGGGGAAUAUUGGACAAUGGGCGCAAGCCUGAUCCAGCCAUGCCGCGUGAGUGAUGAAGGCCUUAGGGUUGUAAAGCUCUUUCGACGGGGACGAUGAUGACGGUACCCGUAGAAGAAGCCCCGGCUAACUUCGUGCCAGCAGCCGCGGUAAUACGAAGGGGGCUAGCGUUGUUCGGAAUUACUGGGCGUAAAGCGCACGCAGGCGGUUCGGUCAGUCAGAAGUGAAAGCCCCGGGCUUAACCUGGGAACUGCCUUUGAUACUGGAGGUCUCGAGUCCGGGAGAGGUGAGUGGAACUGCGAGUGUAGAGGUGAAAUUCGUAGAUAUUCGCAAGAACACCAGUGGCGAAGGCGGCUCACUGGCCCGGUACUGACGCUGAGGUGCGAAAGCGUGGGGAGCAAACA
RNAcentral lists this ribosomal RNA (402 nucleotides) under uncultured bacterium. RNAcentral describes it as "bacterial SSU rRNA". It matches the Rfam family "Bacterial small subunit ribosomal RNA", at positions 355 to 774 of the family's 1533-position model. The record is from RNAcentral.